RNAcentral lists this ribosomal RNA (390 nucleotides) under uncultured bacterium. Its description in RNAcentral is "bacterial SSU rRNA". It matches the Rfam family "Bacterial small subunit ribosomal RNA", at positions 28 to 419 of the family's 1533-position model. The record is from RNAcentral.
GAUGAACGCUAGCGGCAGGCUUAACACAUGCAAGUCGAGGGGUAGAGGAAGCUUGCUUCCUUGAGACCGGCGCACGGGUGCGUAACGCGUAUACAAUCUACCUUUUACAGAGGGAUAGCCCCAGAGAAAUUUGGAUUAAUACCUCAUAGUAUUUUCGGAUCGCAUGAUUUGAUUAUUAAAGUUCCAACGGUAAAGAUGAGUAUGCGUCCCAUUAGCUAGAUGGUAAGGUAACGGCUUACCAUGGCAAUGAUGGGUAGGGGUCCUGAGAGGGAGAUCCCCCACACUGGUACUGAGACACGGACCAGACUCCUACGGGAGGCAGCAGUGAGGAAUAUUGGACAAUGGGCGCAAGCCUGAUCCAGCCAUGCCGCGUGCAGGAAGACGGCCUUC